Molecule: ribosomal RNA, 253 nt
Filed under: uncultured bacterium
Lineage: Bacteria
Description: partial 16S ribosomal RNA
Rfam family: Bacterial small subunit ribosomal RNA
Source: RNAcentral
UACAGAGGGUGCGAGCGUUAAUCGGAAUUACUGGGCGUAAAGCGUGCGUAGACGGUUAUUUAAGUCGGAUGUGAAAGCCCCGGGCUCAACCUGGGAAUUGCAUUCGAUACUGGAUAGCUAGAGUUCGGCAGAGGGAAGCGGAAUUUCCGGUGUAGCGGUGAAAUGCGUAGAUAUCGGAAGGAACAUCAGUGGCGAAAGCGGCUUCCUGGACCAGAACUGACGAUCAGGCUCGAAAGCGUGGGGAGCAAACAGG